GGUCAGGUCCUGCUCAAUGGUUGCGUCGUGAAUCCCGCCAGGUCCGGAAGGAAGCAACGGUAAGCGAUUGUGACCAUGUGACGCAGAGUGCUUGGCCCCU
This 100-nucleotide signal recognition particle RNA is filed under the name Chitinivibrio alkaliphilus ACht1. RNAcentral's name for it is "Bacterial small signal recognition particle RNA". It matches the Rfam family "Bacterial small signal recognition particle RNA". From Rfam's summary of the family: The signal recognition particle (SRP) is a universally conserved ribonucleoprotein involved in the co-translational targeting of proteins to membranes. Archaeal SRP consists of a 7S RNA and homologues of the eukaryotic SRP19 and SRP54 proteins. In most bacteria, the SRP consists of a 4.5S RNA and the Ffh protein (a homologue of the eukaryotic SRP54 protein). The record is from Rfam by way of RNAcentral. Lineage: Bacteria; Pseudomonadati; Fibrobacterota; Chitinivibrionia; Chitinivibrionales; Chitinivibrionaceae.